GAUCCGACUGUUGAAUGCAGAAACUGUCACCAUCUUGGCUCAAUGCUGUGCGCUUUUGCUAAUGUGAAUUAGAACCAAAAUGGCGGAACAAGAGCCCCAGUGGCAGUUGGUGACGAGGCGUUGGUGAUUGACGGCAUGCAUAUCCAGUAGGAGCUUGACUGGUUAUGUCCAGUAGCCAAUCGUAUCGCAGUAUACGGGAGCUUUGUGGUGAAGUCGGCUACAGUAGUUAACUGACGUUCAGAUCAACAAGCCACUAUUUUGGAAGCAGUUUGAUAAACACUCACUGUUCCUCAGUUGAUGUCAGUCAGCUAUCUGCGUUUCCAGAGAGACAUAUCAGCGAUAAACCAGCACAGAACUAACCAGCCACAUAGCCCUGAACCGAUAAGGUUAGAAGACUCCGUCGGUUGAACUUUUCAAGACAACUAGCUCGUGUUUUUUUUAUCAAUUUUUACACCAACUGACGGCCAACGGUCGUUUUUUUUUUGAUUGACCUAAUCUUUUACAUCAACCGAGCUAGCAGUUUUUAUCGUGUUAACGUUAGCUCAUUUUUGUUUCGACAAAAAGGAACAAUACUCGGUUUUAUUUGUAUAAGUCAAGCAAGCCGUUUUGUUUUGUCAACAAGCUAUUUUUUUCAUCGAAGAACUACAAAACCAACGAUAUUAAUCACUUUGCUUGAAAAAAAAGGGCUAAAAGUGUUAGCGUUGACAAGGCACCUAACACUAAUCCCUUGAACCGUUUAAACAGUCAUUAAAAAGAGCCUGUCUUUUAACUGAAUGGUGCUGAUUUUAGUACAUUUAACUUGAACAUAACAGCGUUUGGCUCUAGGAGUAACUGCCUUUUUUUAAGGAAAUAACUAGAACAGCCACCAGGGUGUAAAAAGGCGAGCAUUGGUAGAACCUGAGGCAAGUUGUGUACAUCCAAGGAACCCCUCAUCGGAUUGUUACAUUAAUAUCAGUGUUAUUGUGGAAAAUGGCGGCGAUCGGAAUGGUGCAGAUGUUGAUCGAAGCAGCCGAGUAUCUUGAGCGCAGGGAACGAGAAGCUGAACACGGCUAUGCCUCCAUGCCACCCUUCAUCAGCAGCGGAGAGACGGAAAGCUUGAAAAGGAAAAG
Long non-coding RNA from Notothenia coriiceps (black rockcod), 1109 nucleotides. RefSeq lists it as uncharacterized. Lineage: Eukaryota; Metazoa; Chordata; Actinopteri; Perciformes; Nototheniidae. The transcript has 2 exons. The record is from RefSeq and is a predicted model, not a curated record.